This 253-nucleotide ribosomal RNA is filed under the name uncultured bacterium. RNAcentral describes it as "partial 16S ribosomal RNA". It matches the Rfam family "Bacterial small subunit ribosomal RNA", at positions 524 to 776 of the family's 1533-position model. The record is from RNAcentral.
UACGGGGGGGGUAAGCGUUGUUCGGAAUUACUGGGCGUAAAGGGCGCGUAGGCGGCCUUGUAAGUCAGGUGUGAAAUCCCUCGGCUCAACCGAGGAACGGCGCUUGAUACUGCAAGGCUUGAGGGAGACAGGGGUAAGCGGAACUGAUGGUGGAGCGGUGAAAUGCGUUGAUAUCAUCAGGAACACCGGUGGCGAAAGCGGCUUACUGGGUCUCUUCUGACGCUGAGGCGCGAAGGCGUGGGGAGCAAACGGG